GACGAACGCUGGCGGCGUGCUUAACACAUGCAAGUCGAACGGAAAGGCCCUGCUUUUGUGGGGUGCUCGAGUGGCGAACGGGUGAGUAACACGUGAGUCACCUGCCCUUGACUUUGGGAUAACUUCAGGAAACUGGGGCUAAUACCGGAUAGGAGCUCCUGCUGCAUGGUGGGGGUUGGAAAGUUUCGGCGGUUGGGGAUGGACUCGCGGCUUAUCAGCUUGUUGGUGGGGUAGUGGCUUACCAAGGCUUUGACGGGUAGCCGGCCUGAGAGGGUGACCGGCCACAUUGGGACUGAGAGACGGCCCAGACUCCUACGGGAGGCAGCAGUGGGGAAUAUUGCACAAUGGGCGGAAGCCUGAUGCAGCAACGCCGCGUGCGUGAUGACGGCCUUCGGGUUGUAAACCGCUUUCGCCUGUGACGAAGCGUGAUUGACGGUAAUGGGUAAAGAAGCACCGGCUAACUACGUG
Molecule: ribosomal RNA, 468 nt
Filed under: uncultured bacterium
Lineage: Bacteria
Description: partial 16S ribosomal RNA
Rfam family: Bacterial small subunit ribosomal RNA
Source: RNAcentral